UCCAUUCUUGUAAAUUUAUUCGAUAUUCAACAAAUAUUCAAUACAAUUAAAAACAUUCAACAAAUUCGACAUUCAAGAAAACUAACAUUCGACAAAACUAACAUUCAAGAAAACAACAUUCAACAAAACUAACAUGGAAGAACUAUUUGGAUGGAGGAGUUUGAUAUCUUUGAUCGCUCUGACCUGCAUUACUUUUAUCUUGCAACGAUCCACGAUCUGAAGGUUGUGGAGUUGUAUUUGAUUGAGAUAUAAUUGUUUUCUUCAAGUCUUCAAACAUGUCAAACAUUUCAUCAUAUUUCAUUUUUAAAUUUCUUACACAGAUGUCCAGUUGGUUGCAUGUGCGUUGGCUCCCAUUCUACUUUAAAUCUUUCACCUUAUUUGGGGUGAUCUUUUGGAUGAUCUAAGUUUCUACCUCUUCUAUUUGGUAGACUCAAUUCUGAAAUAAAAAAUAAUGAGUCAAUAAAUACACAUAAAUCAAUCAAUUAUAUAAUAUACACAUCGAUUAUAAUUAGUUAGUUACCAUCAUUAUCUCCGAGGUUCGAGUCGGAGUCGGAAUUAGAUUCACCCAUUGUUGUUGGUACUUGAGUAGUUGGAGUACUCGAACCUUAAG
This 610-nucleotide long non-coding RNA is filed under the name Zostera marina. RNAcentral describes it as "long non-coding RNA (ZMAR_LNC005632)". The record is from RNAcentral. Lineage: Eukaryota; Viridiplantae; Streptophyta; Magnoliopsida; Alismatales; Zosteraceae.